UUACGGGAAACCGGAGCUAUACGAUAAUAUUUCGAACCGCAUGGUUCGAUAGUGAAAGGUGGUUUUGCUAUCACUUAUAGAUGGACCCGCGCCGUAUUAGCUAGUUGGUAAGGUAACGGCUUACCAAGGCGACGAUACGUAGCCGACCUGAGAGGGUGAUCGGCCACACUGGAACUGAGACACGGUCCAGACUCCUACGGGAGGCAGCAGAU
Molecule: ribosomal RNA, 212 nt
Filed under: uncultured Staphylococcus sp.
Lineage: Bacteria; Bacillati; Bacillota; Bacilli; Caryophanales; Staphylococcaceae
Description: partial 16S ribosomal RNA
Rfam family: Bacterial small subunit ribosomal RNA
Source: RNAcentral